RNAcentral lists this ribosomal RNA (490 nucleotides) under uncultured bacterium. RNAcentral describes it as "partial 16S ribosomal RNA". It matches the Rfam family "Bacterial small subunit ribosomal RNA", at positions 30 to 507 of the family's 1533-position model. The record is from RNAcentral.
AUUGAACGCUGGCGGCAUGCUUUACGCAUGCAAGUCGAACGGCAGCGGGGUAGUGCUUGCACUACUGCCGGCGAGUGGCGAACGGGUGAGUAAUAUAUCGGAACGUACCGAGUAAUGGGGGAUAACCAAUCGAAAGAUUGGCUAAUACCGCAUACGUCCUGAGGGAGAAAGCGGGGGAUCGCAAGACCUCGCGUUAUUCGAGCGGCCGAUAACUGAUUAGCUAGUUGGUGGGGUAAAGGCCUACCAAGGCGACGAUCAGUAGCGGGUCUGAGAGGACGAUCCGCCACACUGGGACUGAGACACGGCCCAGACUCCUACGGGAGGCAGCAGUGGGGAAUUUUGGACAAUGGGGGCAACCCUGAUCCAGCCAUGCCGCGUGUAUGAAGAAGGCCUUCGGGUUGUAAAGUACUUUUGUUAGGGAAGAAAAGGGAAGUGCUAAUACCACUUUUUGCUGACGGUACCUAAAGAAUAAGCACCGGCUAACUACGUG